RNAcentral lists this ribosomal RNA (465 nucleotides) under Vreelandella stevensii. RNAcentral describes it as "partial 16S ribosomal RNA". It matches the Rfam family "Bacterial small subunit ribosomal RNA", at positions 338 to 795 of the family's 1533-position model. Lineage: Bacteria; Pseudomonadati; Pseudomonadota; Gammaproteobacteria; Oceanospirillales; Halomonadaceae. The record is from RNAcentral.
CCUACGGGGGGCUGCAUUGGGGAAUAUUGGACAAUGGGGGGAACCCUGAUCCAGCCAUGCCGCGUGUGUGAAGAAGGCCCUCGGGUUGUAAAGCACUUUCAGUGAGGAAGAACGCCUGGUGGUUAAUACCCAUCAGGAAAGACAUCACUCACAGAAGAAGCACCGGCUAACUCCGUGCCAGCAGCCGCGGUAAUACGGAGGGUGCGAGCGUUAAUCGGAAUUACUGGGCGUAAAGCGCGCGUAGGUGGCUUGAUAAGCCGGUUGUGAAAGCCCCGGGCUCAACCUGGGAACGGCAUCCGGAACUGUCAAGCUAGAGUGCAGGAGAGGAAGGUAGAAUUCCCGGUGUAGCGGUGAAAUGCGUAGAGAUCGGGAGGAAUACCAGUGGCGAAGGCGGCCUUCUGGACUGACACUGACACUGAGGUGCGAAAGCGUGGGUAGCAAACAGGAUUAGAUACCCGGGUAGUC